ACCCCACUAUUCUCUUUAACUUAAAACCCUAAGCACUACAACUAUCAUAGUUAAAACUUAAAGAACAUGGCGGUCAGCUUAAAUUUCAGAGGAACCUGCCAGGUAAGUGAUAACCCGCAGAAGCCCCUGCUUCCCCUAAAAGUCUAUAUAUCGCCGUUUAGAAACCCCCUUAGGGGGUUUCUAAAGUAUUAAAACAGGUCAUGAUGUAGCCAAUGGAGAAGAGCAAGGUGGGUUACAGUAAAUGAUUUUUAGGUACGGAUACUUACUUUAAGGUAGGUUGAAGGAGGAUUUGAAAGUAAUUUUUAAAAGAAUUAUAAGGUGAAUACUUCUAAGCUUGUGCACACACCG
Molecule: ribosomal RNA, 348 nt
Filed under: Haminoeidae sp. 1 TRO-2019
Lineage: Eukaryota; Metazoa; Mollusca; Gastropoda; Cephalaspidea; Haminoeidae
Description: partial small subunit ribosomal RNA
Source: RNAcentral